GGAAUCUUCCACAAUGGACGAAAGUCUGAUGGAGCAACGCCGCGUGAGUGAAGAAGGUUUUCGGAUCGUAAAACUCUGUUGUUGGAGAAGAACACGUUUGAGAGUAACUGUUCAGACGUUGACGGUAUCCAACCAGAAAGCCACGGCUAACUACGUGCCAGCAGCCGCGGUAAUACGUAGGUGGCAAGCGUUGUCCGGAUUUAUUGGGCGUAAAGCGAGCGCAGGCGGUUUCUUAAGUCUGAUGUGAAAGCCCCCGGCUCAACCGGGGAGGGUCAUUGGAAACUGGGAGACUUGAGUGCAGAAGAGGAGAGUGGAAUUCCAUGUGUAGCGGUGAAAUGCGUAGAGAUUAGGAAGAACACCAGUGGCGAAGGCGGCUGUCUGGUCUGUAACUGACGCUGAGGCUCGAAAGCAUGGGUAGCGAACA
RNAcentral lists this ribosomal RNA (424 nucleotides) under uncultured bacterium. RNAcentral describes it as "bacterial SSU rRNA". It matches the Rfam family "Bacterial small subunit ribosomal RNA", at positions 358 to 774 of the family's 1533-position model. The record is from RNAcentral.